AUGGGGUCACCUCGAGCAUAUUACACAGGGUUGCAGCAGCAAGGAUCCCCCUUGCUGAAGCCGGGGCGUUGGAUUUAUGUCUCCUGCAAGGGAACCGGAUUCGACUUCAGCAGCUUCCGCAUGUGGUGGAUCCGGCAGGCGCCCGGCAAGGGGCUCGAGUUUGUCGCUCUUAUUAGCAGCGAUGGUAGCACCUGGUACGCGGAUGCGGUGAAAGGGCGCUUCACCAUCUCCAAGGACAACGCGCAGAGCACGCUCUACCUGCAGAUGAACAGCCUCAAGGCCGAGGACACCGGCACCUACUACUGCGCGAAAGCUGGUGCUGGUGCUGGUAUUGGUGGUGGAGAUGCUGUUUGA
Rhea pennata is the source of this 354-nucleotide non-coding RNA. The record is from the annotation of a RefSeq genome assembly. NCBI's taxonomy places the organism in Eukaryota, Metazoa, Chordata, Aves, Rheiformes, Rheidae.